UGUUUGCAUUGGCAUUUUGUAAAUUCUUUUAUAGGAGAAUAUGUAAAAUUUGGAUAUAUAAAAGAUGGAGCAAAUGAUGUUUAAGCAUGCAUGCAUGCAAGAUAUGAUAAUCCAUUACAAACAUGAAGUCAAUGUGUGGGUAAUCAGAGAUAAUAAGGGCGUCCAAAGUAAAGAUGUUUGGCCUCCGAAAUCAGGUCUCCCAGUGGUGUCAUAUUCCAGGACUUGAAUCCGAAGCACAGCUAAUUCCGGAACACGAAUUAGGAAUUCGAAAUCCUGGUCCCAUACAGGUACUCUUUAGGGGGUUUGGUUGAAAUCAGAAUCCUUUUCUUCAAUGAUUCUGGUGAAGGAAAUUGCUGCAUGUUUUCUGUUUCGGACCGGUAGAGCAUAACUCCAAAAGUUUCUGUGACCAUCUAAAUAAAAAAAAAACAAGUCGUCAGAAAAAGGACAUUUCAGGCUUAGUAUUAGGUAGAUACUAUCAUCAUCAUUAUAAGCUCACCUUAGCCACCUUUUUCUGAAGAUUUGGAUUCAAAUGGUCUUCAAAAGUGAUCACAACUGGA
Molecule: long non-coding RNA, 557 nt
Organism: Gossypium arboreum
Lineage: Eukaryota; Viridiplantae; Streptophyta; Magnoliopsida; Malvales; Malvaceae
Exons: 3
Source: RefSeq, a predicted model, not a curated record